UACGGAGGGGGCAAGCGUUGUUCGGAAUUAUUGGGCGUAAAGCGUAUGUAGGCGGCUAAGUAAGUCAGGCGUGCAAGCCCGUGGCUCAACCACGGAAUUGCGUUUGAAACUGUUUAGCAUGAGUGCAGGAGAGGAAAGCGGAAUUCCCAGUGUAGCGGUGAAAUGCAUUGAUAUUGGGAAGAACAUCUGUGGCGAAGGCGAUACUCUGGACACAUUCUGACGCUGAGGUACGAAGGCUAGGGGAGCGAAGAGG
RNAcentral lists this ribosomal RNA (253 nucleotides) under uncultured bacterium. RNAcentral describes it as "partial 16S ribosomal RNA". It matches the Rfam family "Bacterial small subunit ribosomal RNA", at positions 524 to 776 of the family's 1533-position model. The record is from RNAcentral.